This 77-nucleotide transfer RNA is filed under the name Chloroflexota bacterium. RNAcentral describes it as "tRNA-Pro". It matches the Rfam family "tRNA". Rfam says of the family: Transfer RNA (tRNA) molecules are approximately 80 nucleotides in length. Their secondary structure includes four short double-helical elements and three loops (D, anti-codon, and T loops). Lineage: Bacteria; Bacillati; Chloroflexota. The record is from RNAcentral. RNAcentral also lists the same sequence under 1 other name.
CGGGGAGUGUCGCAGUCUGGUAGCGCACUUGACUGGGGGUCAAGAGGCCGCAGGUUCAAAUCCUGUCUCCCCGACCA